This 76-nucleotide transfer RNA is filed under the name Burkholderia sp. Bp9125. RNAcentral describes it as "tRNA-Ala". It matches the Rfam family "tRNA". From Rfam's summary of the family: Transfer RNA (tRNA) molecules are approximately 80 nucleotides in length. Lineage: Bacteria; Pseudomonadati; Pseudomonadota; Betaproteobacteria; Burkholderiales; Burkholderiaceae. The record is from RNAcentral.
GGGGACGUAGCUCAGUUGAGAGAGCGCCUGCCUUGCAAGCAGAGGGUCGCGGGUUUGAAUCCCGCCGUUUCCACCA